Molecule: unclassified non-coding RNA, 2880 nt
Filed under: Acyrthosiphon pisum (pea aphid)
Lineage: Eukaryota; Metazoa; Arthropoda; Insecta; Hemiptera; Aphididae
Description: armadillo segment polarity protein, transcript variant X1
Source: RNAcentral
AUUUUCGUAGUAAAUAGUUGUACUACACCGCCGCCGCCUGCUACAGUGCUCAUGUAAGCAUAAUAUUAUCCUGUUCGGAUCGCGUUCGCCGCCCCCACCGCUCUCGAGUAAUCCGUUCUUGUCGUCUUUUUUUUUUCUUUCCCGUUUCUUUCCUCGUUUAUUAUUAUUAUUACUAUCGUUGUUUGUGAUUGUACGCCUACUCGGCCAUAUUUCGUUGUCCGACAAACGGCUCCCGCGGACGGACGUGACUCAGAGGUCCGAGUGAAAGAAUUGAAUAAUUUGUUGAUAGUGCCCGACGAUCACUACGCGUUCCACGGCAGUUGUAACAUUACCGAUCUUCGCGAGACAGUGAUGUUUACGCGUUGAGUGUUUUAAUUUUUUCCUGCCGAUCGUCUCAUCCAUUCCGUCUGAGGAUUGUUAGCUGCGGUUCCGAACAUCGUUCAAAACUCUAACAGAAUGUAUCAAUCACGAGUGUUGCCGAGUAACACGGGUUAUUCAAAGGAUACAGCCAUGAUGUGGCAACAAGGUGGCCAGUACUUGCCAGAGUCCGGUAUCCACUCUGGUGGAACCACCCAAGCACAUUCUAUCACUGACAAAGAAGAUGAUUUAGAACGUGACCAAUUGAUCUAUGAACUUAAUCAAGGAUUUUCACACGGGUUUACUCAAGAUCAAGUUGAUGAAAUGAAUCAACAAUUGAGUCAGUCACGUACCCAAAGAGUAAGAGCAGCAAUGUUUCCAGAAACACUGGAAGAAGGAAUUGAGAUUCCUUCUACACAAUUCAACCAAGGACAGUUGACAGCCGUCCAACGGUUAGCUGAGCCAAGUCAAAUGCUUAAACAUGCCGUAGUUAAUUUGAUUAAUUAUCAGGAUGAUGCUGAUUUAGCAACUAGAGCUAUCCCAGAACUUAUAAAAUUAUUGAAUGAUGAAGACCAAGUUGUUGUAUCACAAGCUGCCAUGAUGGUUCACCAGUUAUCGAAAAAAGAAGCAUCACGGCAUGCAAUCAUGAAUAGUCCUCAAAUGGUUGCUGCAUUAGUGAAAGCAUUGUCAAAUAGUAAUGAUUUAGAAAUGACUAAAGGCGCAGUUGGUACUCUACACAAUUUAUCACAUCAUCGACAAGGACUUUUAGCUAUAUUUAAAAGUGGAGGAAUACCGGCUUUGGUUAAACUACUUAGUUCUCCUGUUGAGUCUAUAUUAUAUUAUGCUAUAACAACUUUACAUAAUUUAUUGCUACACCAAGAGGGUUCAAAAAUGGCAGUUCGUCUUGCUGGAGGUCUUCAAAAAAUGGUAGCGCUUUUGCAACGUAACAAUGUUAAAUUUUUGACAAUCAUAACUGAUUGCUUACAAAUAUUAGCAUACGGUAAUCAAGAAAGUAAAUUAAUUAUUCUUGCCUCUCAAGGACCUAUUGAACUUGUACGUAUUAUGCGUUCAUAUGACUAUGAGAAGCUUUUGUGGACAACGUCUAGAGUUUUGAAAGUUUUGUCUGUGUGUUCAAGUAACAAACCGGCAAUUGUUGAAGCUGGUGGCAUGCAAGCUCUUGCAAUGCAUUUACAACAUGGCAGUCAACGUUUGGUACAAAAUGCUUUAUGGACCUUGCGUAACUUGUCUGACGCUGGAACUAAGGUUGAUGGGUUAGAACAGUUAUUGCAGUCGUUGGUAAUUGCUUUAAAUCAUUCAGAUGUUAAUGUAGUUACCUGUGCUGCUGGAAUUUUAUCAAAUUUGACUUGUAAUAAUCAACGUAAUAAAGUUACUGUGGUUCAAGUGGGUGGUGUUGAAGCACUAGUACAUACAAUUAUGAACGCUGGAGAUCGUGAAGAAAUAACUGAACCAGCUGUGUGUGCUUUGAGACAUUUGACAUCUAGACAUGUUGAAUCAGAUAGUGCUCAAAAUGCUAUACGCCACAUUGGAGGUAUUCAAGUUAUAGUAAAGUUGUUACAACCUCCUUCCCGUUGGCCACUUGUCAAAGCUGCUAUUGGACUAAUUCGAAAUGUAGCUCAGUGUCAAGGAAAUCAUGUGCCAUUAAGAGAACACGGCGCAAUUCACCAUUUAAUACGUUUAUUGAUGAGAGCGUUUCAAGAUAUUCAAAGGACAUCUACAAAUAGUAGUGUAGCAGGAUCUGGCAGAUCACAAUCAGGUGGUGUAUAUGCUGAUGGAGUGCGCAUGGAAGAAAUUGUUGAAGGCACUACUGGUGCAUUGCAUAUUCUUGCAAGAGAAUCACACAAUCGAGUGCUUAUGCGCUCCCAACAAGGACUGAUAGCAGUAUUAGUUCAAUUGUUAUUUAAUGAUAUUGAAAAUGUUCAACGAGUAGCUGCUGGUGCAUUAUGCGAGUUAGCUAUUGAUAAAGAUGGGGCAGAUAUGAUUGAAGCAGAAGGUGCGACAGCGCCACUAACUGAACUAUUACAUUCCCGUAAUGAAGGAGUUGCAACAUAUGCAGCAGCAGUUUUAUUCCGAAUGUCAGAAGAUAAACCAAAUGAUUAUAAAAAACGGUUAUCAGCAGAGCUGAGUAAUUCACUAUGCCGUGAAGAUCAAAAUACAUGGCCACCCAAUGAUCUUGGAAUGGGGCCUGAUCUUCAGGAUGCAUACGAUUUGUAUAGUCACGGACUUGGUAGCGUUCACAAUGGAAUGAGCCCAAUGAGACGUAACAACUACCAUCAACAGUCAGGUACACACAUAUUUUAGAUCUAGUGGCUGAAUUUGCUUAACUAUACUAAUUAUUCUGCGCUUGUUUUGCAUGCAAUUCUACAUUAACAGGUAUGACACGUUACCAAUAGACUCUAUGCAAGGUUUAGAAAUAUGUUCUCAACAAGAAUCCAACUGUAGUCCAAUGGACGUAGUAACAGCUAAUGAUAUUGAUUUUGGUCGUCUAGGAGAUUUACCUGAACC